AUUUAUUUUUUUGAAAGUUAGGCUUGACAAUGGGAUUAUCAGCAAAGAAAUCUAAAAAGAUGUGAAAAAGUGACAAUGUUUCGGAUGACUACUGUGAUAUGGAGCUUGAAGAGAUGGAGAAGGAACAAGGAGAAGAGGAAGAAGAUAGAAAGGAAGGAACAAUUGAGGAAGACCAAAGUGGAUGGAAUAAUGAUGAGAUAGAACAACUUGAGUUACAAAUGUCCCAAAUCAGUGUCACUGCUGAGUCUCAUGGUCGUAAGAAAGCCCUUCUCAUUGGAGGUUUCAUUGCAGACGUCCUUUUUUCUCUGGAAUCUCGUAGUGUGAUUCCUUCAAACCAUCCGGUUGCGAAUUUCAGGGAGAAUCAUACUUCGAGUUUCCAGAGAAAGAUGGAUGUCUUGAUGUGCCUAUGGAUAAGUUUGCUGAAGAAAGGGAAGAAAAAAUCAGACAAGAUAUCUUACGGGCAUGGCGCAUGAUUAACCUUAACCUUUACAACCCUAAGUGUAAAGCUGUGCUGGUAAUUAAAUUAAUUUCUCAUCAGUUAUUUGUUGUAACUAUGUUCACAUGGAGAGAUAUCAUCCUACCUAUGUUGUUUUAUUGCUAAAUUGUCUAAUCAUGAGCUACAUGAAUUAGAAAUGUACUUUGAGGGUUAUCCAAAACCUUCUAAAUGGAAAUUUGCUGAAGUUCUAUUAUCAA
Arachis ipaensis is the source of this 693-nucleotide non-coding RNA. NCBI's taxonomy places the organism in Eukaryota, Viridiplantae, Streptophyta, Magnoliopsida, Fabales, Fabaceae. The record is from RefSeq and is a predicted model, not a curated record.